GUCCCCGUAGCUUAGCGGUCAGCGUUUGGUGACUUUUCUCCUCAGCGUUUGUUUUCCCAGCGAAUAGAGUUAAGGCAGCGAAAGAUAUCGGUUCGAAUCCGAUCGGGGACA
Podospora fimiseda is the source of this 111-nucleotide non-coding RNA. The record is from the annotation of a GenBank genome assembly. Lineage: Eukaryota; Fungi; Ascomycota; Sordariomycetes; Sordariales; Podosporaceae.